Molecule: ribosomal RNA, 463 nt
Filed under: uncultured bacterium
Lineage: Bacteria
Description: partial 16S ribosomal RNA
Rfam family: Bacterial small subunit ribosomal RNA
Source: RNAcentral
GAUGAACGCUGGCGGUGUGCCUAAUACAUGCAAGUCGAGCGGCAGCACGGUCUUCGGACUGGUGGCGAGCGGCGGACGGCUGAGUAACGCGUGGGAACGUGCCCCAAAGUGAGGGAUAACUCCGGGAAACCGGAGCUAAUACCGCAUAUGAUCUUCGGAUUAAAGUAUUUAUACGCUUUGGGAGCGGCCUGCGUACGAUUAGAUUGUUGGUGAGGUAAAGGCUCACCAAGUCGACGAUCGUUAGCUGGUCUGAGAGGAUGAUCAGCCAGACUGGGACUGAGACACGGCCCAGACUCCUACGGGAGGCAGCAGUGAGGAAUCUUCCACAAUGGGCGAAAGCCUGAUGGAGCAACACCGCGUGAAGGAUGAAGGCCCUCGGGUCGUAAACUUCUUUUAUGAGCGAAGAAUAUGACGGUAACUCAUGAAUAAGGGUCGGCUAACUACGUGCCAGCCGCCGCGGUAA